CCUACGGGUGGCAGCAGUGGGGAAUAUUGCACAAUGGGGGGAACCCUGAUGCAGCAAUGCCGCGUGGGUGAAGAAGCACUCCGGUGCGUAAAGCCCUGUCAGCAGGGAAGAAAAUGACAGUACCUGACCAAGAAGCCCCGGCUAACUACGUGCCAGCAGCCGCGGUAAUACGGAGGGGGCAAGCGUUAUCCGGAUUUACUGGGUGUAAAGGGAGCGCAGGCGGUACGGCAAGUCCGAUGGGAACACCCAGGGCCCAGCCCUGGGCCUGCAUUUGAAACUGCCAUACUGGGGGGCCGGAGAGGUAAGUGGAAGGCGUAGUGUAGCGGGGAAAUGCGUAGAUAUUAGGGGGAACACCAGUGGCGAAGGCGGCUUACUGGACGGUAACUGACGCUGAGGCUCGAAAGCGUGGGGAGCAAACAGGAUUAGAUACCCGGGGAGUC
This 440-nucleotide ribosomal RNA is filed under the name uncultured bacterium. RNAcentral's name for it is "partial 16S ribosomal RNA". It matches the Rfam family "Bacterial small subunit ribosomal RNA", at positions 338 to 795 of the family's 1533-position model. The record is from RNAcentral.